Molecule: ribosomal RNA, 496 nt
Filed under: uncultured bacterium
Lineage: Bacteria
Description: partial 16S ribosomal RNA
Rfam family: Bacterial small subunit ribosomal RNA
Source: RNAcentral
GAUGAACGCUGGCGGCGUGCCUAAUACAUGCAAGUCGAGCGAACGGACGAGAAGCUUGCUUCUCUGAUGUUAGCGGCGGACGGGUGAGUAACACGUGGAUAACCUACCUAUAAGACUGGGAUAACUUCGGGAAACCGGAGCUAAUACCGGAUAAUAUUUUGAACCGCAUGGUUCAAAAGUGAAAGACGGUCUUGCUGUCACUUAUAGAUGGAUCCGCGCUGCAUUAGCUAGUUGGUAAGGUAACGGCUUACCAAGGCAACGAUGCAUAGCCGACCUGAGAGGGGGAUAGGCCACACUGGAACUGAGACACGGUCCAGACUCCUACGGGAGGCAGCAGGAGGGAAUCUUCCGCAAUGGGCGAAAGCCUGACGGAGCAACGCCGCGUGGGUGAUGAAGGUCUUCGGAUCGUAAAACUCUGUUAUGAGGGAAGAACAUAUGUGUAAGUAACUGUGCACAUCUUGACGGUACCUAAUCAGAAAGCCACGGCUAACUACGU